CACGGGGGGAGCAAGCGUUGUUCGGAAUUACUGGGCGUAAAGCGUGCGCAGGCGGUCUUGUAAGCCAGAUGUGAAAGCCCCGGGCUCAACCUGGGAACUGCAUUUGGGACUGCAAGGCUGGAGUACGGCAGAGGGAGGUGGAAUUCCACGUGUAGCAGUGAAAUGCGUAGAGAUGUGGAGGAACACCGAUGGCGAAGGCAGCCUCCUGGGCUAGUACUGACGCUCAUGCACGAAAGCGUGGGGAGCAAACAGG
Molecule: ribosomal RNA, 253 nt
Filed under: uncultured bacterium
Lineage: Bacteria
Description: partial 16S ribosomal RNA
Rfam family: Bacterial small subunit ribosomal RNA
Source: RNAcentral